Long non-coding RNA from Odocoileus virginianus texanus, 356 nucleotides. RefSeq lists it as uncharacterized. NCBI's taxonomy places the organism in Eukaryota, Metazoa, Chordata, Mammalia, Artiodactyla, Cervidae. The record is from RefSeq and is a predicted model, not a curated record.
UCUAGCUCCAACUUGGGGUUAGUAACUAUGGAAAAUCACUGGGGCCCUCAGUUAAAUGCCAUUGUGUACAAACUCAGAGGAGCGGUGGAGUGGCCCCAGAAUCCAUCUGAGAGUCUGAAGGGUUAAUUGCAGCAACGUGGGCUUCUGGAGCUGAAUUUGAGGCUCCAAUCUGACAUCUGUCAAGGCAUUUUCCCAGCUUGUUCAAUACAUCAGAUCAGUCACUGAAAAAAGAAUGAUUAUGAAACUGGUAUUCGGACACACGUAAAUCUUCCAAGAGUCUCCUUUACAAGAGAAAAUUGACACAAUGGAUCCUCUGAAAUACAGAGCUAUUGAGGUUGGAGAAGAGACUGAGUGUU